Lolium rigidum is the source of this 2151-nucleotide RNA transcript. RefSeq lists it as uncharacterized. The record is from RefSeq and is a predicted model, not a curated record. The transcript has 3 exons. Lineage: Eukaryota; Viridiplantae; Streptophyta; Magnoliopsida; Poales; Poaceae.
UCCUCCGGAAGCCAACCACAGCGCCAAAUUCCCCUUUCUCUCCCAAAGUCAACACCUCCACCAAAUCCUCCCCUUCCUCUCCGCUCAGAUCUGUACAGCGAACUGCUGCUCGCCGCCGCCUCAUUCUUCCGUUCUCCCCUCCCCCCCGACCCUAAUUGCCAUGGCUGCGCUGCGCGUGAUGACUUCGGCGCGCCGCCACGAACUGAUUUGACGGCCACCUAAACUAUCCGUCGUCGUACCGCCUACCUUGGAAUCACCAUCGAAGGGGUGUGCGUAGCGUCCAUGCCGCCCGCGCCGACCCGUUUGGCUUCGAUGACCACCAGAUCUAGCCGCCAUUGUACCGUGCCGUGCGCGUCGCCCCGACCUUCCCAAAGGGACGGAAGGUUUUCUUCGAUGGAUUCCACUUUAUAACACAUAAUGCUUCCAGUUUGUAUCAGGUUGUAUUGACUCCUACGUUUGUAAAUAUCAACUUGCAAUAUCUUACUAGAACUUAACAUGGAAAUAUGUUCAAUGGUUAUCAACAGUUGUUUUGACUAUCCUUUAGUAUUCUACUAUAUAUUUAUCUUAUUACCAGUAUAAUAAAUUAAGUCUUUCUGGAUAAUUAUUCCCUAGAUGUUGCUUGAGCCUCUAUUAACAUGUCCAGGCGUUUUUAACAGCAGUAGUUGAUGCAAGUUCAGUUGCACCUAAACACACAUAAAAAAUGUUGGCAUGUAAGUUCCUGUCUGUUGAUAUUGCCAUUUAGAGUUCUUGUACACAUAUCCUUGCUUCUCAUUAUCACACCUAUAUUAUAAUUGCGGGAUCUUGUGAUGCUAUCAAUGUAGUCAGAAGUCAUAACCUCUACAUCCACAUCAUUUCCUGCUUUGUUCGGCACUUCAUCUCCCAGGUAAAACCUACUCCCAUUAUAGAUAUACAUGUGCUAUGGUACUACAUUUCUGCUCUCAUUCGAUCUGUAUGGCGCCUAAAUUGUGUAGGCUCGCAAGGAAGAGAUCGUUGGAUUCCUCCCUGGAUCAAACGGUUCUUCUGCAGUUCUGCCGAUGGUGUCCUGCUCGCUCGGUAGUACAUUUUAUGGCGACAAAGCAUGUGCUGCAUCUAUACUCAGGCAGCAACAUCAAGAGAAUUCCAUGAGCGAACUCCAUGGUGAAGGAUUUCAUGUCCAUAUGUUUCCCUUCUGAUAUCUUCCUAAAUCACUUGUGCCACACGUCUUCCUAAAUCACGUCUGCGUGCCGCUCCAACUACCAACAUAUGUUUAUGAAAACGUGUGAUUUACAUUGCAACCUAAGUAAUGAUACAUACAUACUUCUUUGUUAAUAUACCCUGAACUAGGUGUGUUAGACUCCUUUUUAUCUAGAAUUAUUUUUGUUGCUACCUAUAUAUUUCUUCUCUGUUCUCAUAUUUGUGUUAAUGUUGAUUGCUUUGAAAAAUAUCACUUUAAGGUUCUCUAAGAACAAUAUGACACUGUUACUUUUCUCUGAAUAUUGUAAGCAUACCUUAUGUUUUACAGGAGUUGCUGCUGCCUCACUGUUAUACUGCUAUGGAAGAAUUAAUAUACACUUUUGGGGGGACCUUGGUAUUUGGUCUACUUCUUUCAGACCUUAUUUUCUUAUCUAUUGUUUUAAUUGUAGCUCGAGUGAAAUUUAUUGGCACUAUCAACUCAACAAUUGCGGCAGGUUGACCACUCCCCGCCUUCCUCGAAUCACUAAAUGAAGUCUUGGAAACUAAUAUAGCAGUUCUAGUGUCAUGUUCCAGUAGUGCAUCAUAAUUUGGUUUGAUGUGGCAGAAUAAUUCUCGGUUUCCCAAGUGAUUAUAGAAGUGGCACGCUGUCUAUGAAUAUUAUGUGAAAGAUAUAGUAAGGAAGGAGAAGAAUGCUGGCCACUCUAUGAAGAAUGAUGAUCAGAAGAUAACAAAUGAACAAGUUUAUUUGUUGAUGUGUUGAAUUCAGCAAAUAAAUGUGGAAAUAUUGUGUGUUGCAAAUGGAAGUAGUAGGCAGAUUGGAAACAUGGUAGUUGUAUGUGUAACAUGUGGCUUAUUUUGUGCUUCUUAUGUGUCCAUUGCUGCUAGUGGUUGUGCUGACACUAAUGUAAUUUUGCUGUUUGGCAAAUGUUAACUUCUUGUGAUCCAUCAAGUAUUAUUGAAAUAGAGUGUUUUUGUGUA